Molecule: ribosomal RNA, 369 nt
Filed under: uncultured bacterium
Lineage: Bacteria
Description: bacterial SSU rRNA
Rfam family: Bacterial small subunit ribosomal RNA
Source: RNAcentral
ANGGUGCGAGCGUUAAUNGGAAUUACUGGGCGUAAAGCGAGUGUAGGUGGCUCAUUAAGUCACAUGUGAAAUCCCCGGGCUUAACCUGGGAACUGCAUGUGAUACUGGUGGUGCUAGAAUAUGUGAGAGGGAAGUAGAAUUCCAGGUGUAGCGGUGAAAUGCGUAGAGAUCUGGAGGAAUACCGAUGGCGAAGGCAGCUUCCUGGCAUAAUAUUGACACUGAGAUUCGAAAGCGUGGGUAGCAAACAGGAUUAGAUACCCUGGUAGUCCACGCCGUAAACGAUGUNUACUAGCCGUUGGGGUCCUUGAGACUUUAGUGNCGCANUUAACGCGAUAAGUAGACCGCCUGGGGAGUACGGCCGCANGGUUA